UACAGGGGGGGCAAGCGUUGUUCGGAAUUACUGGGCGUAAAGGGUCUGUAGGUGGCCAACUAAGUCAGACGUGAAAUCCCUCAGCUUAACUGGGGAACUGCGUCUGAUACUGGAUGGCUCGAGUGUGGGAGAGGAAUGCGGAAUUCCAGGUGUAGCGGUGAAAUGCGUAGAUAUCUGGAGGAACACCAAUGGCGAAGGCAGCUCGCUGGAACGGUACUGACGCUGAGGCGCGAAAGCGUGGGGAGCGAACAGG
Molecule: ribosomal RNA, 253 nt
Filed under: uncultured bacterium
Lineage: Bacteria
Description: partial 16S ribosomal RNA
Rfam family: Bacterial small subunit ribosomal RNA
Source: RNAcentral